Molecule: long non-coding RNA, 227 nt
Organism: Bubalus bubalis (water buffalo)
Lineage: Eukaryota; Metazoa; Chordata; Mammalia; Artiodactyla; Bovidae
Exons: 2
Source: RefSeq, a predicted model, not a curated record
GCCAACACACUUUUCCUCUUCUCCUCAGAGCCACUGGCAUCCUGGAGAAGGGGAGUGAGAGGAAAUGAAAACGCAGAUGGUUAGAAGCAUACUGGAUCUGGAAAUGGUUUCACCUCCCCCUACUCCCAACCCUGCAAGACCCAAAUGAAGAAGGCAACCCACCGCAAGGGGCACUACAUUGCCCUGCCUGCAAGCCUGCAUGUGAAUAAAACCCGUCUUUCCGUCAA